Molecule: small RNA, 574 nt
Filed under: Pongo abelii (Sumatran orangutan)
Lineage: Eukaryota; Metazoa; Chordata; Mammalia; Primates; Hominidae
Description: sense intronic
Source: RNAcentral
AUUUAGAUGGGAAGUGGAUGGGUCUGAGGAAUUUGAGCAAACACUGACAAUGAAGGAGAGUGACCUGAGCAAGUACUAGUGGGGUAAAUGGAAAUAGACAAAAUGGGAAUCAGCAGAGAUAUGGAGGACAGAAUACAAUGAGGAGGCCUUGACCGUCAGUAGCAGAGAGGUCAACAGAAGCCUAAUUCCCAAAUUCCUUAGAUGGUUUUCUGAUUUCCAAAUUAGUUUCCCUUUUAAAUUUAUUGUGUCAGGUUCAGCUUAUGAGGCCUCAAUACUUUUCAGUCUUAAUUGUAUAUUGAAAAUACUUUUUGUUUAGUAAAUACUUUUUACAUUAAUUCAGUGCGCACUUCGUAAGGAUAUUGAUGAUUUGAGUUAGUUUAGUAUUCAACAGCUUCCUCUAUUCCUUUAUAUGAUCUCUGUAUUUAAUAGCUGUGGCAUAAAGUUUCCAACCAAGUAUAAGUAUCAAGUUCUCUUUGUGCUGUUUUCUGCAAAUAUUGAAGGAUGGCCUGAAUUGUCCUAGAACUUUGUUCCAACAGAUUCCAUGUGUUCAUAAUGAAUACAUUGCUCAAAGAUA